RNAcentral lists this ribosomal RNA (424 nucleotides) under Bacillus cereus. RNAcentral describes it as "bacterial SSU rRNA". It matches the Rfam family "Bacterial small subunit ribosomal RNA", at positions 553 to 976 of the family's 1533-position model. The record is from RNAcentral. Lineage: Bacteria; Bacillati; Bacillota; Bacilli; Caryophanales; Bacillaceae.
AUUGGGCGUAAGCGCGCGCAGGUGGUUUCUUAAGUCUGAUGUGAAAGCCCACGGCUCAACCGUGGAGGGUCAUUGGAAACUGGGAGACUUGAGUGCAGAAGAGGAAAGUGGAAUUCCAUGUGUAGCGGUGAAAUGCGUAGAGAUAUGGAGGAACACCAGUGGCGAAGGCGACUUUCUGGUCUGUAACUGACACUGAGGCGCGAAAGCGUGGGGAGCAAACAGGAUUAGAUACCCUGGUCGUCCACGCCGUAAACGAUGAGUGCUAAGUGUUAGAGGGUUUCCCCCCUUUACUGCUGAAGUUAACGCAUUAACCACUCCGCCGGGGGAGUACGGCCGCAAGGCUGAAACUCAAAGGAAUUGACGGGGGCCCGCACAAGCGGUGGAGCAUGUGGUUUAAUUCCAAGCAACACGAAGAACCUUACCA